GUGGCGCACGGGUGAGUAACACGUGAAUGACAUGCCCUUCAGAGGGGGAUAGCCCAGGGAAACUUGGAUUAAUACCCCAUGGUCUCGCAAGAGUAAAGGUGGCGCAAGCUGCCGCUGAGGGAUUGGUUCGCGCCCUAUCAGCUAGUUGGUGAGGUAACGGCUCACCAAGGCGAUGACGGGUACUUGGUCUGAGAGGACGAUCAGGCACACUGGAACUGAGACACGGUCCAGACACCUACGGGUGGCAGCAGUCGAGAAUAAUUCACAAUGGGGGCAACCCUGAUGGUGCAACGCCGCGUGGAGGAUGAAGGUCUUCGGAUUGUAAACUCCUGUCAUCCGGGAGAAAGACCUGGCUGUGAAUAGCAGACAGGGUUGAUAGUACCGGAAGAGGAAGGGACGGCUAACUUCGUGCCAGCAGCCGCGGUAAUACGAAGGUCCCGAGCGUUGUUCGGAAUCACUGGGCGUAAAGGGAGCGUAGGCGGUUUGGUAAGUCAGAUGUGAAAUCCCGGGGCUCAACCCCGGAACUGCAUCCGAUACUGCCAGACUUGAGCAAUGGAGAGGUAGCUGGAAUUAUCGGUGUAGCAGUGAAAUGCGUAGAUAUCGAUAGGAACACUCGUGGCGAAAGCGAGCUACUGGACAUUUGCUGACGCUGAGGCUCGAAGGCUAGGGGAGCGAAAGGGAUUAGAUACCCCUGUAGUCCUA
This 702-nucleotide ribosomal RNA is filed under the name uncultured Verrucomicrobiaceae bacterium. RNAcentral's name for it is "bacterial SSU rRNA". It matches the Rfam family "Bacterial small subunit ribosomal RNA", at positions 95 to 798 of the family's 1533-position model. The record is from RNAcentral. Lineage: Bacteria; Pseudomonadati; Verrucomicrobiota; Verrucomicrobiia; Verrucomicrobiales; Verrucomicrobiaceae.